AAAAAUCUCUCCCUACCAUGAUCACGAAGGUGGUUUUCCCAGGGUGAGCUUAUCCAUUGCACUGGAUGUGCUGGCCCUUGUGAUUUCCCAAAUGUGGGAAACUCAACCAUAUAGUUUGUGGUAGUGGGUGACUGCAUUCACACUCUCCCU
This is a small nuclear RNA of Erinaceus europaeus (western European hedgehog), 150 nucleotides long. Its record names the gene U1. It matches the Rfam family "U1 spliceosomal RNA". From Rfam's summary of the family: U1 is a small nuclear RNA (snRNA) component of the spliceosome (involved in pre-mRNA splicing). Its 5' end forms complementary base pairs with the 5' splice junction, thus defining the 5' donor site of an intron. Lineage: Eukaryota; Metazoa; Chordata; Mammalia; Eulipotyphla; Erinaceidae. The record is from Ensembl.